Molecule: long non-coding RNA, 330 nt
Filed under: Neodiprion pinetum (white pine sawfly)
Lineage: Eukaryota; Metazoa; Arthropoda; Insecta; Hymenoptera; Diprionidae
Description: uncharacterized LOC124215561
Source: RNAcentral
AAGGUGGCUGAGGAUUUGUGCUCGGUAUAACCCGAGGUGGUUGGCGGUGGUUGGCGGUGGUCGAGCUGGACGGGGUGGAGGACAAGGAUUCGUGCUUGUUCUGUGCCCCACCUAGUGAUCCACUAGUACAUAUCCUCCGACGUGACAUCGCUGUGCUACGUAUAAAGAAGAAAAGAUUUAUUAAGAUGCAAAUCGCUCCUCUCUUCUUGUCAUUGUGCUUUCAGCCAUUGUUAUGCUGUGUGUUUAAAAUUUAGGACAGUAUAUAAUAUAGAAUAACAGGUACAGCUACGAAUAUAGCACUACAAUAAAUCUUAUAGAAAUGAGCUCUUA